RNAcentral lists this small nuclear RNA (194 nucleotides) under Heterocephalus glaber (naked mole-rat). RNAcentral describes it as "U2 spliceosomal RNA (ENSHGLG00100047592.1)". It matches the Rfam family "U2 spliceosomal RNA". Rfam says of the family: U2 is a small nuclear RNA (snRNA) component of the spliceosome (involved in pre-mRNA splicing). Complementary binding between U2 snRNA (in an area lying towards the 5' end but 3' to hairpin I) and the branchpoint sequence (BPS) of the intron results the bulging out of an unpaired adenosine, on the BPS, which initiates a nucleophilic attack at the intronic 5' splice site, thus starting the first of two transesterification reactions that mediate splicing. The record is from RNAcentral. Lineage: Eukaryota; Metazoa; Chordata; Mammalia; Rodentia; Bathyergidae.
AUCCCUUCUCGGCCUUUUGGCUAAGAUCAAGUGUAGUAUAUAUAUUAUAGUGUCUUGUUAAGUUAUUAAAUUGUCCAGGGUAAGCUCAAAGUUUUGAUCCUUUUUUUUUUUUUGGUACUGGGGAUCAAGCUCAGGACCUUGUGCUUGGGAGGCAGGCAUGGUGCCACUGAGCUAUAACCCUGGCUCAAAGUUUU